UGCAGUCGACGGUAAGGCCCUUCGGGGUACACGAGUGGCGAACGGGUGAGUAACACGUGGGUAAUCUGCCCUGCACUUCGGGAUAAGCCUGGGAAACUGGGUCUAAUACCGGAUAUGAGCUCUGGCCGCAUGGUCUGGGGUUGGAAAGUUUUUCGGUGCAGGAUGAGCCCGCGGCCUAUCAGCUUGUUGGUGGGGUAAUGGCCUACCAAGGCGACGACGGGUAGCCGGCCUGAGAGGGUGAUCGGCCACACUGGGACUGAGACACGGCCCAGACUCCUACGGGAGGCAGCAGUGGGGAAUAUUGCACAAUGGGCGGAAGCCUGAUGCAGCGACGCCGCGUGGGGGAUGACGGUCUUCGGAUUGUAAACCCCUUUCAGUAGGGACGAAACGCAAGUGACGGUACCUGCAGAAAAAACACCGGCCAACUACGUGCCAGCAGCCGCGGUAAUACGUAGGGUGCGAGCGUUGUCCGGAAUUACUGGGCGUAAAGAGCUCGUAGGCGGUUUGUCACGUCGUCUGUGAAAUCCUCCAGCUUAACUGGGGGCGUGCAGGCGAUACGGGCAGACUUGAGUACUACAGGGGAGACUGGAAUUCCUGGUGUAGCGGUGAAAUGCGCACAUAUCAGGAGGAACACC
Molecule: ribosomal RNA, 635 nt
Filed under: bacterium SCSIO13146
Lineage: Bacteria
Description: bacterial SSU rRNA
Rfam family: Bacterial small subunit ribosomal RNA
Source: RNAcentral